Molecule: ribosomal RNA, 253 nt
Filed under: uncultured bacterium
Lineage: Bacteria
Description: partial 16S ribosomal RNA
Rfam family: Bacterial small subunit ribosomal RNA
Source: RNAcentral
UACGGAGGGGGCUAGCGUUGUUCGGAAUUACUGGGCGUAAAGCGUACGUAGGCGGCGAUUCAAGUCAGAGGUGAAAGCCCACGGCUCAACCGUGGAACUGCCUUUGAAACUAGGUCGCUUGAACACGGGAGAGGUGAGUGGAAUUCCGAGUGUAGAGGUGAAAUUCGUAGAUAUUCGGAAGAACACCAGUGGCGAAGGCGGCUCACUGGACCGUUGUUGACGCUGAGGUACGAAAGCGUGGGGAGCAAACAGG